GUUGUGUAGCUCCUGUACAUAGCGAUCUAUCCUGCUGCUGUAGAGGUUGUGUAGCUCCUGUACAUAGCGAUCUAUCCUGCUGCUGUAGAGGUUGUGUAGCUACUGUACAUAGCGAUCUAUCCUGCUGCUGUAGAGGUUGUGUUAGGCCUUUACAUAGCUGGCUCUCCUGCUGCUGUAGCGGUUGUGUAGCUCCUGUACAUAGUGAUCUAUCCUGCUGCUGUUGAGGUUGUGUUAGGCCUUUACAUAGCUGGCUCUCCUGCUGCUGUAGCAUGUGUAAAUCUUGUACAUAGCUGCCAAUCUUGCUUCAGUAGAUUCUGUGUCACACCUUAACCUAGCUGACUGCGCAAAUCACGUGGAGUGGGUCUUAGUUCUUCAUUUAGCUAUGCUGCUGUAAAGUCUGUACAUCUCCUAAAUAUUGUUGGCUAACCUGCUGCUGUAGAGUCUGUGCUACUCCUAUACAGAGCUGACUAUUCUGAUGCUUUAAAAUCUGAGUAACUCCUUCACCUUGUUGGCUGUCCUAUUACUGUUGCCGUAGAGUCUGUUACUCCUUCACCUAGCAGACUGUGCUGCUGCUUUUGACACAGAUCUGACAGCUUGCUAGUCCUGGUUGUGUACAAUAAUAGUAGGUAUUGGAAGAAAAUGUGGACAAAUUUUGGCGCUGGAACUCUGGAUAUUAAGAAAAUCAGGAACACAUCCGCAUUCCUUUCAGAGGCUUUAUUGUGAAUACAUAAGCUACACGUUUCUGGUCCGAACCGGACCCUUGGUUGUGUACAAGGCAGUUGUGAGAGUGUGAAGUGUCCAAGUCUUCAGGGAGGGCAGAUCACAUGGGGUAGAUGAGGAGAGCUCAGGCUGUAUGAGUGUACAGCAGGAGGAGAGAACGCACAGACUCUUUAUCAUCAAUGAAGCCAAAACUUAGUGCAACUUUUUUACCUCAUUGUAACCACUAACCUGUAAAAAUCCCAUUUCCGUGUCCAAAGCCUUUAAGAUCUCUGCUUGCUGUCUGUGAAUAGGAACUCGUGCUGACCUUGUUCUGCUCACACUGGAAAGGUCUGACACAUCAGCACAAGUCUUUCUGCUGGCGUUACAAUGUAUCAGUGCAGGGAAAACUGACAGGGGACUGUAUACAAUUGUAACAAACCCUCAGCUGUGAGCAGGAUUAGAUCAAACAAGGUUUUCAAUGGGAACAAACAUUUCCCAUUAUCUUAAGAACUUAAAAAUAGUGAAAAACUGAAACACAAAGUAGCAGAACUUCUGCCGUACGGUGACUGCGCCGGCCCUUAAAAUAGAUGACUACAAUACAAAGAGCCACCUCCUCCUUUUAGGGGAGGGGCUGGCGCUAUGGGCGUGGCUGUCACCUGCCAAUCAUUGCACUAGAUACAUUUGAAUCUGUUUUAGUUGUUUUCUCUGGUAGUGGAGCUGGAAUAGUCCGGUGAUAUUAGCGCUCAGCUCUGCUGCAUGUAGCGGCGCAGUGUCAGGUUAUGUGGUGGCGGUGACGCUGCGUCCUGCGUCUUCAUUCCUUUUACGCUUUUCCCCUCUGAGCUGUAAAUUAUUCCUGGUGAGCGCCCCCUGCUGCCCCAUAGCUGAUAAUAUAUGUGAAUGUUUGUCUGUAGGGGGAGCGCCUGAUGGGAGUUGUACUCCAUGACACUCAUCUCUGCUGCUCCUCACCCACAAGUAUUAUUCUCAGCGCCUUCCCUAGGCCGUCGCGCCGCGUGUUUGGUGGUGACGUAUCCGCCCGUUUAUUCUUCAUCUCAGAUUUUGUUACAUUUUAUUUUCUCACGUCCUGGGGCCGAACCUGGAACAAAAAUAAUCUGCGUCCUGGGGCGACGUCCCCCCAAACCCUGCGCUGUAGGGAAGAACGCGACGCCCCAACAGGUUCCAUCGUCACCCGGCGUCGCCAUACAAGGCGCAGACUGUGUAGAUGGCGGAAACAAAAUCUCAAUGUCCCUGUAGUUUAUAUGACUUAUUAUGAUUAAAGAAACGUAGAAGCGUCACCUCCAGUUAUUGGUCCUGACAGAAAUAAAGUCCUUGUCUGACUCCA
Long non-coding RNA from Hyla sarda, 2038 nucleotides. RefSeq lists it as uncharacterized. Lineage: Eukaryota; Metazoa; Chordata; Amphibia; Anura; Hylidae. The record is from RefSeq and is a predicted model, not a curated record. The transcript is spliced from 2 exons.